AUACGGAGGGUGCAAGCGUUAUCCGGAUUUACUGGGUUUAAAGGGUACGCAGGCGGUAAUUUAUGUCAGUGGUGAAAGCCUACAGCUCAACUGUAGAACUGCCAUUGAAACUGAAUUACUUGUGUAUGGUAGAGGUAGGCGGAAUACAACAUGUAGCGGUGAAAUGCAUAGAUAUGUUGUAGAACACCGAUUGCGAAGGCAGCUUACUAAACCAUUACUGACGCUCAUGUACGAACGCGUGGGGAGCGAACAGGAUUAGAAACCCUAGUAGUCC
Molecule: ribosomal RNA, 274 nt
Filed under: uncultured bacterium
Lineage: Bacteria
Description: partial 16S ribosomal RNA
Rfam family: Bacterial small subunit ribosomal RNA
Source: RNAcentral